AUUUGUUGGGUAAAGCGUUUUCGGGCCUCAGUGGGUCCCUCGUCAGUACAUUAUCAGCAAAAAGAACUUAACCUUUGAUGAGAGACCCACUGAGGUCCGAAGGCGUUUUACGUGGUGGGUUCGGAUACUUGCAUUCGGAGCUGUUUAUGAACUUUACUGUAAAACAGGCAAGUGAUUUUACUUAUGAUUUUAUAUUUGCUAUGCUGAGCCGACGAUGGAAGUGUACGAAAAAAUAACUCUCCUUAAGUUGAAUAAAGAUAUCUUAAGGGCAGAAGAAUUAGUAAUGUUCCUUAGACAGUGUAAGAUUAACCGCAUAUUCCCAAUGUCGAUCUACCACAUUAGGCUACCCGUACGAUCAAAGUAUAUACAAUGCCAAGUUAAAUCUCGGUGUCUGAACUCUGUCACUUUGCUAUCACUGAUGCAAGACGAAGAUUCUUUGCUUUAAAAAGUAAGUGC
This 456-nucleotide long non-coding RNA is filed under the name Androctonus crassicauda. The record is from RNAcentral. Lineage: Eukaryota; Metazoa; Arthropoda; Arachnida; Scorpiones; Buthidae.